GAUUUGACGUACUUGUACUGAUUGAGAUUUUAACACGAAGUGAGUGGCGAACGGGUGAGUAACACGUGGGUAACCUGCCCAGAAGUAGGGGAUAACACCUGGAAACAGAUGCUAAUACCGUAUAACAGAGAAAACCGCAUGGUUUUCUUUUAAAAGAUGGCUCUGCUAUCACUUCUGGAUGGACCCGCGGCGUAUUAGCUAGUUGGUGAGGUAAAGGCUCACCAAGGCAGUGAUACGUAGCCGACCUGAGAGGGUAAUCGGCCACAUUGGGACUGAGACACGGCCCAGACUCCUACGGGAGGCAGCAGUAGGGAAUCUUCCACAAUGGACGCAAGUCUGAUGGAGCAACGCCGCGUGAGUGAAGAAGGGUUUCGGCUCGUAAAGCUCUGUUGUUAAAGAAGAACGUGGGUAAGAGUAACUGUUUACCCAGUGACGGUAUUUAACCAGAAAGCCACGGCUAACUACGUGCCAGCAGCCGCGGUAAUACGUAGGUGGCAAGCGUUAUCCGGAUUUAUUGGGCGUAAAGCGAGCGCAGGCGGUCUUUUAAGUCUAAUGUGAAAGCCUUCGGCUCAACCGAAGAAGUGCAUUGGAAACUGGGAGACUUGAGUGCAGAAGAGGACAGUGGAACUCCAUGUGUAGCGGUGAAAUGCGUAGAUAUAUGGAAGAACACCAGUGGCGAAGGCGGCUGUCUGGUCUGCAACUGACGCUGAGGCUCGAAAGCAUGGGUAGCGAACAGGAUUAGAUACCCUGGUAGUCCAUGCCGUAAACGAUGAUUACUAAGUGUUGGAGGGUUUCCGCCCUUCAGUGCUGCAGCUAACGCAUUAAGUAAUCCGCCUGGGGAGUACGACCGCAAGGUUGAAACUCAAAAGAAUUGACGGGGGCCCGCACAAGCGGUGGAGCAUGUGGUUUAAUUCGAAGCUACGCGAAGAACCUUACCAGGUCUUGACAUCUUCUGACAGUCUAAGAGAUUAGAGGUUCCCUUCGGGGACAGAAUGACAGGUGGUGCAUGGUUGUCGUCAGCUCGUGUCGUGAGAUGUUGGGUUAAGUCCCGCAACGAGCGCAACCCUUAUUACUAGUUGCCAGCAUUAAGUUGGGCACUCUAGUGARACUGCCGGUGACAAACCGGAGGAAGGUGGGGACGACGUCAAAUCAUCAUGCCCCUUAUGACCUGGG
This 1173-nucleotide ribosomal RNA is filed under the name Pediococcus pentosaceus. Its description in RNAcentral is "bacterial SSU rRNA". Lineage: Bacteria; Bacillati; Bacillota; Bacilli; Lactobacillales; Lactobacillaceae. The record is from RNAcentral.